This 887-nucleotide ribosomal RNA is filed under the name Pseudocosmospora eutypellae. RNAcentral describes it as "LSU rRNA". It matches the Rfam family "Eukaryotic large subunit ribosomal RNA", at positions 56 to 979 of the family's 3401-position model. Lineage: Eukaryota; Fungi; Ascomycota; Sordariomycetes; Hypocreales; Nectriaceae. The record is from RNAcentral.
GGAAAACAACAGGGAUUGCCCUAGUAACGGCGAGUGAAGCGGCAACAGCUCAAAUUUGAAAUCUGGCCCUUGGGUCCGAAUUGUAAUUUGUAGAGGAUGCUUUUGGUGCGGUGCCUUCCGAGUUCCCUGGAACGGGACGCCAUAGAGGGUGAGAGCCCCGUCUGGUUGGACGCCAAUCCUCUGUAAAGCUCCUUCGACGAGUCGAGUAGUUUGGGAAUGCUGCUCUAAAUGGGAGGUAUAUGUCUUCUAAAGCUAAAUACCGGCCAGAGACCGAUAGCGCACAAGUAGAGUGAUCGAAAGAUGAAAAGCACUUUGAAAAGAGGGUUAAAUAGUACGUGAAAUUGUUGAAAGGGAAGCGCUUGUGACCAGACUUGAGCCCGGUUAAUCAUCCAGCCUUCUGGCUGGUGCACUUGGCCGGCUCAGGCCAGCAUCAGUUCGGCGCGGGGGAUAAAGACUUCGGGAAUGUGGCUCCCCCGGGAGUGUUAUAGCCCGUUGUGCAAUACCCUGUGCUGGACUGAGGUUCGCGCAUCUGCAAGGAUGCUGGCGUAAUGGUCAUCAGCGACCCGUCUUGAAACACGGACCAAGGAGUCGUCUUCGUAUGCGAGUGUUCGGGUGUCAAACCCCUACGCGUAAUGAAAGUGAACGCAGGUGAGAGCUUCGGCGCAUCAUCGACCGAUCCUGAUGUUCUCGGAUGGAUUUGAGUAAGAGCAUACGGAGCCGGACCCGAAAGAAGGUGAACUAUGCCUGUAUAGGGUGAAGCCAGAGGAAACUCUGGUGGAGGCUCGCAGCGGUUCUGACGUGCAAAUCGAUCGUCAAAUAUGGGCAUGGGGGCGAAAGACUAAUCGAACCUUCUAGUAGCUGGUUUCCGCCGAAGUUUCCCUCAGGAA